RNAcentral lists this ribosomal RNA (246 nucleotides) under Enterococcus faecium. RNAcentral's name for it is "partial 16S ribosomal RNA". It matches the Rfam family "Bacterial small subunit ribosomal RNA", at positions 1234 to 1476 of the family's 1533-position model. The record is from RNAcentral. Lineage: Bacteria; Bacillati; Bacillota; Bacilli; Lactobacillales; Enterococcaceae.
GAAGUACAACGAGUUGCGGAAUCGUGAGGCUAAGUUAAUCUCUUAAAGCUUCUCUCAGUUCGGAUUGCCGGGUGCAACUUGCCUGCAUGAAGCCCGAAUCGCUAGUAAUCGGGGAUCCGCACGCCGCGGGGAAUACGUUCCCCGGCCUUGUACACCCCCCCAGUUCCACCACGAGAGUUUGUAACACCCCAAGUCGGUGAGGUACCUUUUUGGAGCACAGCCGCCCUAAAGGUUGAAAAGAGAGGU